Molecule: ribosomal RNA, 253 nt
Filed under: uncultured bacterium
Lineage: Bacteria
Description: partial 16S ribosomal RNA
Rfam family: Bacterial small subunit ribosomal RNA
Source: RNAcentral
AACGUAGGAGACAAACGUUAUCCGGAGUUACUGGGCGUAAAGGGCGUGUAGGCGGUCUGUUAAGUCUGGCGUGAAAGCUCUCGGCUAAACCGGGAGAGGUCGUUGGAUACUGGCAGACUAGAGGACGGUAGAGGCGUGUGGAAUUCCGGGUGUAGUGGUGAAAUGCGUAGAGAUCCGGAGGAACACCAGUGGCGAAGGCGACACGCUGGGCCGUACCUGACGCUAAAGCGCGAAAGCAUGGGGAGCAAACGGG